CCCUUAGAUGUUCUGGGCCGCACGCGUGCUACACUGAGUGGAUCAGCGGGUCAGGUUGCGCGAAAGCGUUUCCUAAUCUUUAAAUCCGCUCGUGAUGGGGAUUGACGGUUGCAAUUUUCUGUCAUGAACGAGGAAUACCUUGUAAGCGCGGGUCAUCAUCCCGCGCUGAAUACGUCCCUGCCCUUUGUACACACCGCCCGUCGCUCCUACCGAUUGAGUGGUCCGGUGAGGAUUUGGGAUCUGAGCGGAAAGAGCGUUUCGCUGUUUCUGCUCGGAAAACUCAGUCGAACCUUAUCAUUUAGAGGAAGGAGAAGUCGUAACA
Molecule: ribosomal RNA, 322 nt
Filed under: uncultured eukaryote
Lineage: Eukaryota
Description: partial 18S ribosomal RNA
Rfam family: Eukaryotic small subunit ribosomal RNA
Source: RNAcentral